UGAAGCGCCUGUUCUUGGAU
RNAcentral lists this microRNA (20 nucleotides) under Mus musculus (house mouse). Its description in RNAcentral is "mmu-miR-3080-5p". Lineage: Eukaryota; Metazoa; Chordata; Mammalia; Rodentia; Muridae. The record is from miRBase by way of RNAcentral.